GCGCGAUGCCGACCGUUACGGAGGGCCGUUGGCGCGGGCGCCGCGCCGCGCUCUCCUCAGGGCUCGUCCCGGGUGUUCCCGCAGGCAGUUCCCCCCGCGAACUUUCCCGUUUGCCUGAGUCCGCUUGGGACGCUGGGUCCUGGGCUCGGUUUUCAGCGCCAGAGGAAAGAACUGCGUUUCAAGAAGUAACGUUAGAAGUGCGCUAGAAAUACUUAGUGAAAACCUCCCGAGCAGAAGAGCUGUAAGGUUGUCUUGCAGCCAUGUCGUGAAUACUCCCCAGGCUUCACUUUCCCGCUUCUCUCCCCGAGUCCCAGAGAGGGAGGGUGAGCAAACGGCUGCGUGGUGCUUAGCUGCCGGCUGGGUCAAACCACAACACCUGCCCACCAGCGCGAUCUCACCGCAGGUCCAAGGCUUUGAAGCUGGCAGCCCCAGCGCAGCGCCGGGCCCCGCCGGCGGCCACCAGCCCUUGGAGCGCGCCCCGGUGAGUAGCACCGAGGCCGGGGCCGCUGAGUGUCGCUGCGGGGCUACGGAAAGCCGGGCCGAGGUGCUCCGCUCCGCUCCGCCUCUGCCGCCGCGCUGGGGCCGUGCCGGGCAGGACUUGGCCCGCCGGAGGCAAGGGGUGGGAAACGCUGCAGGGCGUUUGCAUGGUCCGGCUGUUGGGGCCAGCUUCCGCGCUCGGUUAUUCCGGGAAAUUCGUAAGUUACGUCCUUGUAACCAGCUUUUGAUGUCACCUUCCUUCCAGAGGCGUUUUAAAUCGAAAGAUGGACUGCUUUUCAGUCUGGAUCACUGUGGUCAUUUUGCAUCAUCCCUGUGA
This 814-nucleotide long non-coding RNA is filed under the name Cairina moschata (Muscovy duck). Its description in RNAcentral is "domestica (muscovy Duck (domestic type)) lncRNA (ENSCMMG00000009225.1)". The record is from RNAcentral. Lineage: Eukaryota; Metazoa; Chordata; Aves; Anseriformes; Anatidae.